UACAGAGGGUGCAAGCGUUAAUCGGAAUUACUGGGCGUAAAGCGUGCGUAGUCGGCUUUUCAAGUCGGGUGUGAAAGCCCCGGGCUCAACCUGGGAAUUGCAUUCGAUACUGGAUCGCUAGAGUUCGGCAGAGGGAAGCGGAAUUUCGGGUGUAGCGGUGAAAUGCGUAGAUAUCCGAAGGAACAUCAGUGGCGAAAGCGGCUUCCUGGACCAGAACUGACGAUCAGGCACGAAAGCGUGGGGAGCAAAC
RNAcentral lists this ribosomal RNA (250 nucleotides) under uncultured bacterium. Its description in RNAcentral is "partial 16S ribosomal RNA". It matches the Rfam family "Bacterial small subunit ribosomal RNA", at positions 524 to 773 of the family's 1533-position model. The record is from RNAcentral.